CCCUUAGAUGUUCUGGGCCGCACGCGCGCUACACUGAGCCCUUCAUCGAGUUUACAACCUUGGCCGGUAGGUCUGGGUAAUCUUCUCAAAGGGGCUCGUGCUGGGGAUAGAUUAUUGUAAUUUUUAAUCUUCAACGAGGAAUUCCCAGUAAACGCAAGUCAACAGCUUGCAUUGAUUACGUCCCUGCCCUUUGUACACACCGCCCGUCGCUACUACCGAUUGAAUGGCUUAGUGAGCCCGAGGGACUGUUGCACCUAGAGGGUUUUCUCUCCAGGAGCAGCCGGGAACUCGGUCAAACUUGAUCAUUUAGAGGAAGUAAAAGUCGUAACA
RNAcentral lists this ribosomal RNA (330 nucleotides) under uncultured eukaryote. Its description in RNAcentral is "partial 18S ribosomal RNA". It matches the Rfam family "Eukaryotic small subunit ribosomal RNA", at positions 1470 to 1796 of the family's 1831-position model. The record is from RNAcentral.